AUUGGACGCUGGCGGCAUGCUUUACACAUGCAAGUCGAACGGUAACAGGUUAAGCUGACGAGUGGCGAACGGGUGAGUAACACGUGGGUGAUCUGCCCUGCACUUCGGGAUAAGCCUGGGAAACUGGGUCUAAUACCGGAUAGGACCACUGCCUGCAUGGGUGGUGGUGGAAAGCUUUUGCGGUGUGGGAUGGGCCCGCGGCCUAUCAGCUUGUUGGUGGGGUGAUGGCCUACCAAGGCGACGACGGGUAGCCGGCCUGAGAGGGUGACCGGCCACACUGGGACUGAGAUACGGCCCAGACUCCUACGGGGGGCAGCAGUGGGUAAUAUUGCACAAGGGGAGCAAGCCUGAUGCAGCGACGCCGCGUGAGGGAUGACGGCCUUCGGGUUGUAGACCUCUUUCAGCACCGACGAAGAGCAAGUGACGGUAGGUGCAGAAGAAGGACCGGCCAACUACGUGCCAGCAGCCGCCGUAA
This 475-nucleotide ribosomal RNA is filed under the name uncultured bacterium. RNAcentral's name for it is "partial 16S ribosomal RNA". It matches the Rfam family "Bacterial small subunit ribosomal RNA", at positions 28 to 523 of the family's 1533-position model. The record is from RNAcentral.